This 73-nucleotide transfer RNA is filed under the name Phytohabitans flavus. RNAcentral's name for it is "tRNA-Gln". It matches the Rfam family "tRNA". Rfam says of the family: Transfer RNA (tRNA) molecules are approximately 80 nucleotides in length. Lineage: Bacteria; Bacillati; Actinomycetota; Actinomycetes; Micromonosporales; Micromonosporaceae. The record is from RNAcentral.
UCGGCUGUGGUGUAAUUGGCAACACCUGCGGUUUUGGUCCGUAUGUUCCAGGUUCGAGUCCUGGCAGCCGAGC